GUGUGAAAGCCAGUCCGAUAGAGGCAGCUUCUCAAGUCUCAGCAGGUCCCUGAAAAUGGGGUCUAGGAAUCUGUGGAAAAUUCUGACAGCUGUCAGGAAGGAGGUUACUAAAUUCAUUGGAGAAUGAGUGUUGUCCUGAAUUUGGGUUGGACAAGAAUGAAAAGAGGAUAUAA
Long non-coding RNA from Cervus elaphus (red deer), 173 nucleotides. RefSeq lists it as uncharacterized. NCBI's taxonomy places the organism in Eukaryota, Metazoa, Chordata, Mammalia, Artiodactyla, Cervidae. The record is from RefSeq and is a predicted model, not a curated record. The transcript is spliced from 3 exons.